CCUACGGGAGGCAGCAGUGGGGAAUAUUGCACAAUGGGGGCAACCCUGAUGCAGCGACGCCGCGUGAGUGAAGAAGGAUUUCGGUAUGUAAAGCUCUAUCAGCAGGGACGAAAAUGACGGUACCUGCUUAAGAAGCCCCGGCUAACUACGUGCCAGCAGCCGCGGUAAUACGUAGGGGGCGAGCGUUAUCCGGAUUUACUGGGUGUAAAGGGAGCGUAGACGGCAGCACAAGUCAGGAGUGAAAUGCCGGGGCUUAACCCCGGAACUGCUAUGGUAACUGUGCAGCUAGAGUGCAGGAGAGGUAAGUGGAAUACCCAGUGUAGCGGUGAAAUGCGUAGAUAUUAGGUGGAACACCAGUGGCGAAGGCGGCUAACUGGACUGUAACUGACGUUGAGGCUCGAAAGCGUGGGGAGCAAACAGGAUUAGAUACCCUUGUAGUC
This 440-nucleotide ribosomal RNA is filed under the name uncultured bacterium. RNAcentral describes it as "partial 16S ribosomal RNA". It matches the Rfam family "Bacterial small subunit ribosomal RNA", at positions 338 to 795 of the family's 1533-position model. The record is from RNAcentral.